GUGCUCGCUUCGGCAGCACAUAUACUAAAAUUGGAACGAUACAGAGCAUGGCCCCUGCACAAGGAUGACAUGCAAAUUUGUGAAGCGUUCCAUAUUAAA
RNAcentral lists this small nuclear RNA (99 nucleotides) under Cervus elaphus hippelaphus. Lineage: Eukaryota; Metazoa; Chordata; Mammalia; Artiodactyla; Cervidae. The record is from RNAcentral. RNAcentral also lists the same sequence under 1 other name.